UACGUAGGCAGCGAGCGUUGUUCGGAGUUACUGGGCGUAAAGAGUGCGUAGGCGGUUUUCUAAGUUGGGUGUGAAAUCUCCCGGCUCAACUGGGAGGGUGCGCCGAAGACUGGAAGGCUUGAGUAUGGGAGAGGUAAGCGGAAUUCCUGGUGUAGCGGUGAAAUGCGUAGAUAUCAGGAGGAACACCUGCGGUGUAGACGGCUUACUGGACCAUAACUGACGCUGAGGCACGAAAGCGUGGGUAGCAAACAGG
RNAcentral lists this ribosomal RNA (253 nucleotides) under uncultured bacterium. RNAcentral's name for it is "partial 16S ribosomal RNA". It matches the Rfam family "Bacterial small subunit ribosomal RNA", at positions 524 to 776 of the family's 1533-position model. The record is from RNAcentral.